Molecule: non-coding RNA, 46 nt
Organism: Tauraco erythrolophus (red-crested turaco)
Lineage: Eukaryota; Metazoa; Chordata; Aves; Musophagiformes; Musophagidae
Source: Rfam
ACAAAGACUUUUUUAAAAGUCACAUACUGUUGCUUCAAAACUGAAG